ACCCAAAAGAUCGAAUGGGGAGAUUCAUCGCCAGCUUUAUCGGCUUGCGUGCCGCUCGCGAUGCUCGUUUUUGAGGCGUGUAACAGCGUUUUAAUAAGCGGGCACGCGGUGGCUGCGUAAUUUUUGUCCGGUCAAAGUCGGUGUGCACUUCUCCCCUAGUAGGACGUCGCGACCCGUUGAGUGUCGGCCUAAGGCCCGCUGUGGUCGACUGCCGGUUUCGGGUGCUUUCGGGCAUUCGAUCAAUCGGUAGACCCGCGGUCGCCCGGCCGACUGCUCGACGGUAAAAAAUUGUUUGAAAGCAUUAAUGGUAUCGAGCCGCAUAAUUCGAAUGCGUCCUUUUCGGCUCGUCGGCAGGUGAGCCUCGUCUCGGAUUUUACGGACCUGGUGCCGUUGUCGAGCGUGGCUAGCCUGUUAGCCGGCGAUGUCCUCGGACGGGCUCUAUGAAGAAAAAGUUUUAUGCUUUUUCUUUUGUUACCAGUCAGCGACGCUACUGCUUUGGGUACUUUCAGGACCCGUCUUGAAACACGGACCAAGGAGUCUAACAUGUGCGCAAGUCAUUGGGAUUUGUUUUGCAAUAAACCUAAAGGCGCAAUGAAAGUGAAGGUCCGCUCUGAUGCGCGACCGAGGGAGGAUGGCUCCGGUUUUUUUUUAAGCCGGAGCUCGCACUCCCGGGGCGUCUCGCGCUCAUCGCGAGCUGAGGCGCACCCAGAGCGUACACGUUGGGACCCGAAAGAUGGUGAACUAUGCCUGGUCAGGACGAAGUCAGGGGAAACCCUGAUGGAGGUCCGUAGCGAUUCUGACGUGCAAAUCGAUCGUCGGAACUGGGUAUAGGGGCGAAAGACUAAUCGAACCAUC
RNAcentral lists this ribosomal RNA (855 nucleotides) under Megaphragma sp. RNAcentral's name for it is "partial large subunit ribosomal RNA". It matches the Rfam family "Eukaryotic large subunit ribosomal RNA", at positions 429 to 944 of the family's 3401-position model. The record is from RNAcentral. Lineage: Eukaryota; Metazoa; Arthropoda; Insecta; Hymenoptera; Trichogrammatidae.